GUCACCCAUCCACAUCUCUGUGGGUUUCUAUAGGUGAUGGUCUUCUAAUAUAGUCAUCUGAGAUCUCUGCUUGAAGGCUCAGUUGGGCUGCCAGGGCAUGCUUGGUCCACAAGAAGUGCCAAGGAAUUAACAGAAGUUGCAGGAGUAGUUUUGACCAAUGGCCAACAGGAGUUGGUAGAUAAUUACCCCAACCUCCUCACUUGCCUGACAGAAUUACUGUGAAGGAUGUUAGCUGUGUUUUCCUGGAAGUCUCAGUUGCCUCAAUUGCCCUUGAUGGUACCUUACCCAUAAAUCUACUCAUUAUUCUUUUUCUUCCCCUUCUCCAUGCUUCACUGGUGCUUCCAGGGAUCACCUGCCAAGACAACUACAGAUCUUUGUCUCAGCAUGCUUCUGGGAGAACCGAAACUAAGGCGUCCUUCUAAGUCCUCAUCACCACUCACCUGUGGGGAAGUGUUGCAACAUAAGUGCUCCAAUCUACACAGGCUGGGAGAUAACAAACAAACAUGCUAAGCAAUUUUCUCAACAAAACAUAGCCAAAACUGAGGUCAAAGUCCAUGCUAGUAUAACUUCCAAUUGGAAGAGACCUACCAUGUAUGCUAAGAUACCAUGAACAGAGAAAAACAACUGUGGCUUCAUAUAUGAAAUCUGAACUACAAACCGUAAGGGAAGAUGUUCUGAACUAAAGGUACUGAUUUCUAACCAAGCUGUUUUCACACGAUCAACAUUAUACAAGAUGAAUUUAGAGUGACAGGAAAUAGGGAUCUAUCUUUAUCCAUGCAU
Molecule: long non-coding RNA, 780 nt
Organism: Felis catus (domestic cat)
Lineage: Eukaryota; Metazoa; Chordata; Mammalia; Carnivora; Felidae
Exons: 3
Source: RefSeq, a predicted model, not a curated record